UUCAGUUGGGCGACAGACUCUGGACUCGACAGAAAAUCGAGAGCUUGGAAAUUUUGUGGUCCGUGAUCAUUACCUGGAAAUCUUUGGUGAAAACUAAUGCAAACACUCAGCAAUUGCACCUGCACAGAAAUCAAAUACAAAAAAGGAUACUCCCGAAUAUACGAGUGCGUGUGACCCAAAACGGGCAAAGUUGUACCGCAAAAAGCGCCAUUUACAAACAAAAUGCAAAGUGAUUCGAUUGUGUGAGAAGUUAGUGGAAAAUCCAUUCGGCAGCGGAACGACAGACGUCAGUCUUCAAUCAAAUGUAGCGCCAAAAGUCCAGGCUUCAGACGUCUUGCCACUUGCAACUGCAGCAGGAGCACAAGCCACAAAA
Drosophila yakuba is the source of this 373-nucleotide long non-coding RNA. RefSeq lists it as uncharacterized. The record is from RefSeq and is a predicted model, not a curated record. The transcript is spliced from 2 exons. Lineage: Eukaryota; Metazoa; Arthropoda; Insecta; Diptera; Drosophilidae.